CACGUGGGAACGUACCCUUUGGUUCGGGAUAACUCUGGGAAACUAGAGCUAAUACCGGAUACGCCCUUUUGGGGAAAGGUUUACUGCCGAAGGAUCGGCCCGCGUCCGAUUAGCUAGUUGGUGUUGGUAAUGGCUCACCAAGGCGACGAUCGGUAGCUGGUCUCGAGAGGAUGACCAGCCACAUUGGGACUGAGACACGGCCCAAACUCCUACGGGAGGCAGCAGUGGGGAAUAUUGGACAAUGGGCGCAAGCCUGAUCCAGCCAUGCCGCGUGAGUGAUGACGGCCUUAGGGUUGUAAA
This 300-nucleotide ribosomal RNA is filed under the name uncultured Hyphomicrobiales bacterium. RNAcentral describes it as "bacterial SSU rRNA". It matches the Rfam family "Bacterial small subunit ribosomal RNA", at positions 114 to 429 of the family's 1533-position model. The record is from RNAcentral. Lineage: Bacteria; Pseudomonadati; Pseudomonadota; Alphaproteobacteria; Hyphomicrobiales.